RNAcentral lists this unclassified non-coding RNA (435 nucleotides) under uncultured Glomus. RNAcentral's name for it is "SSU rRNA". It matches the Rfam family "Eukaryotic small subunit ribosomal RNA", at positions 569 to 1009 of the family's 1831-position model. The record is from RNAcentral. Lineage: Eukaryota; Fungi; Glomeromycota; Glomeromycetes; Glomerales; Glomeraceae.
AGCAGCCGCGGUAAUUCCAGCUCCAAUAGCGUAUAUUAAAGUUGUUGCAGUUAAAAAGCUCAUAGUUGAAUUUCGGAAUCAAUAUGCUGGUCGUGCCAUUGGUACGUACUAGUAUUAUUGGUUUCUCCCUUCUGAUGAAUCAUGAUGUCAUUAAUUUGAUGUCAUGGGGAAUCAGGACUGUUGCUUUGAAAAAUUAGAGUGUUUAAAAGCAGGCUCGCGCUUGAAUACAUUAGCAUGGAAUAAUGAAAUAGGACGUUUGAUUCUAUUUGUUGGUUUCUAGGAUUGACGUAAUGAUUAAUAGGGAUAGUUGGGGGCAUUAGUAUUCAAUUGUCAGAGGUGAAAUUCUUGGAUUUAUUGAAGACUAACUACUGCGAAAGCAUUUGCCAAGGAUGUUUUCAUUAAUCAAGAACGAAAGUUAGGGGAUCGAAGACGAUC